Molecule: ribosomal RNA, 800 nt
Filed under: Arecanut yellow leaf disease phytoplasma
Lineage: Bacteria; Bacillati; Mycoplasmatota; Mollicutes; Acholeplasmatales; Acholeplasmataceae
Description: bacterial SSU rRNA
Rfam family: Bacterial small subunit ribosomal RNA
Source: RNAcentral
ACCAUGAUGUGUAGCUGGACUGAGAGGUUGAACAGCCACAUUGGGACUGAGACACGGCCCAAACUCCUACGGGAGGCAGCAGUAGGGAAUUUUCGGCAAUGGAGGAAACUCUGACCGAGCAACGCCGCGUGAACGAUGAAGUAUUUCGGUAUGUAAAGUUCUUUUAUUGAAGAAGAAAAAAUAGUGGAAAAACUAUCUUGACGAUAUUCAAUGAAUAAGCCCCGGCAAACUAUGUGCCAGCAGCCGCGGUAAUACAUAGGGGGCGAGCGUUAUCCGGAAUUAUUGGACGUAAAGGGUGCGUAGGCGGUUUAAUAAGUCUAUAGUUUAAUUUCAGUGCUUAACACUGUCCUGCUAUAGAAACUAUUAGACUAGAGUGAGAUAGAGGCAAGUGGAAUUCCAUGUGUAGCGGUAAAAUGCGUAAAUAUAUGGAGGAACACCAGAGGCGUAGGCGGCUUGCUAGGUCUUUACUGACGCUGAGGCACGAAAGCGUGGGGAGCAAACAGGAUUAGAUACCCUGGUAGUCCACGCCGUAAACGAUGAGUACUAAGUGUCGGGAUUACUCGGUACUGAAGUUAACACAUUAAGUACUCCGCCUGAGUAGUACGUACGCGAGUAUGAAACUUAAAGGAAUUGACGGGACUCCGCACAAGCGGUGGAUCAUGUUGUUUAAUUCGAAGAUACACGAAAAACCUUACCAGGUCUUGACGUACUCUGCAAAGCUAUAGCAAUAUAGUGGAGGUUAUCAGGGAUACAGGUGGUGCAUGGUUUGUCGUCAGCUCGUGUCGUGAGAUGUUAGGUUA